CAGAUUUGGUGACUGUCUCCCGCAAAAGAUCCAGUUACCUUCCGAAUCGAACGUUUCCCAACGAUUGAUUCGGCGAUCAACCCGCCUUCUGGCGGGUUUUUUCGU
Molecule: non-coding RNA, 105 nt
Filed under: Klebsiella pneumoniae subsp. pneumoniae
Lineage: Bacteria; Pseudomonadati; Pseudomonadota; Gammaproteobacteria; Enterobacterales; Enterobacteriaceae
Source: RNAcentral